Molecule: long non-coding RNA, 723 nt
Filed under: Homo sapiens (human)
Lineage: Eukaryota; Metazoa; Chordata; Mammalia; Primates; Hominidae
Description: non-protein coding lnc-RBMY1A1-3:1
Source: RNAcentral
AGGCCCGCAGGCCUCUCCUGGAGUUGCCCCCAGAGUUGACGGGUGCCGGGGGGGUGGGGUGGGAGGCACAGGCUUUGCUCUGUUGGAGCCUCAAGGAGGGCACCAUGUUAAGGCUGGAGGCUGUGCAGGAGAGGAUGGUCUGUGCACAGAGCAGGAAGACAACCCUGGGGGGAGAGGCAUGCUAGUGGGGGAUGACAUCAUUGCAGAGAUGGAGGUGGUGGCCAAGGAGGAAGGCCAAUGUGGAGCCACAGCAGGAGGACCUGCAGGCACAGCCUGGCCCUGGCCCCAGUACGCCCCGGCCAGCAACAGACUCGCUGGACGUCCUUCACUUGGAGCUCGGCUACGUGAAUGUCCCAGGCCACAGGGCAUCCCCGGCUUCUGGGCCAUUGUGCGGCACACCGAGAUGUUGGCCGGGAUCACAAAUGAUGAUGAAGUCCUGCUAAGCUACGUACGUGAUGGAUUUGCAGGUCUUUUAUCACAGUCUCUACUUCCACAAUGAAGUGAUCAUUCAGGAGUACUGCCUUGGCAUCCUCGGUAAGGAGCGCCUCCCAUUCCACUGCAGUCUAGUGGUUGUGGGAUCAUGAAGGUCAAGCCUCCAGCUGCAGGCCGUACAGCUCCUACCUGACCUUCUUCAGCUGGUUGGCUGACCAUGACUGCCCAGGUUCUGGCAGGAUUGCUGAGAUCAUCAGCCAGAGCCUGUAGCUCAAUCCCCUGCAGUACUUC